CAUGACUCCCACUGUAGUAAGAGAACUUAGUACAAAUUUUCUAAAAUGUUAUCACUUAAUUAUUUUAAUUGUGACUCUUCUUUUAAUGUUGGUUUCACUGUCAUGUUGUAUUCACUUUUAGUUUUAUAAACUUUUUUUUACUGCAAAAGACUACAACUUUCUAUUGGUACUGGUUUUGUUUUACUAUGCAUGUCAACCAGCAUCCAUUUGCAUCUGUUUGCUGAUGUCAAUAUGCAUCUGCUGAGCUACUGAAUAAUACUACUAAUAAGUUUCUCAAGUGUUUCAAAAACUCCUGGAUAAAGCUAACUUUCCUCACAGAUAGUGCAACACCUUCUGGUUUUGCUCUCGGCAUUUAGAUUAGAAUGUGCCUAUAUAAUGUAUUGUUAAUGCUGCGAAAUCAAUAAGCACAAUACAGAAAGAUGAUGAAACAGUGUGUGUUUACCACAACGCAGCAGUCACAGGAAAAGGGGGUAACUAUUGUCAAACUAAAUCUCAGCCUGCUUCACUUGAGUCUGCACUUUGUACGUGAUACGUCACCACUUCACAAUCAUGCACAUGCAAACAAAUCUGACAUUAAAUAUUACCCCAGACGAUCGAGCGCAAAGCUAGCAUCCAAUCACAAUAAGGACGCGAGUACUAGCCAAUCACAGCACAGUAGGGUGGGACUUGCCGCAAAACGGGGGGUGGUGAUGGUGGUGGGGGUAACUCCUCCGAGAGGGAAAUGUUACGCUGUCCGCGGCUCUGAAACAACAGCUAAGCGAUUGUCACAGGUUGCCCUCACUUGUUUGAGGAGUCGUUCUCCCUCUGAUUUGUUCCAGUGUGCCUCAUCCACCAUACCUCUUGGGCCAAGAAGCCCUUUUUGACAAGAUGCUGUGCCAACAAUUUCUGAUGACAUCCAAGAGAGACAUGUGAAACUCUACAUGUCUGACUAUUUCAAGCAGGCCCCAGCCCGAACCGGGGGUGAGGGCCACCGAAUGACUGAGGAAAAGAACUUAUGAAGAUUGCCAUCCACUACAUGAAUUCUAACAUUACUUGUUCUUGUUAGUUGAAGCUCUGGAAAAAGGGAUAUGCUCAGUUCUCUGUUUAUUGUGUAAUGCACUUGUUUACGGUCAUUCAACAUUGGAAUUUUUAUUUUUUUUGACAGGUGACCCGAGUUCUACAUUUUGAAAUAAAAGACUUAUAAAAGACA
Siniperca chuatsi (mandarin fish) is the source of this 1189-nucleotide long non-coding RNA. RefSeq lists it as uncharacterized. The record is from RefSeq and is a predicted model, not a curated record. The transcript is spliced from 5 exons. Lineage: Eukaryota; Metazoa; Chordata; Actinopteri; Centrarchiformes; Sinipercidae.